This 1336-nucleotide long non-coding RNA is filed under the name Gossypium raimondii (Peruvian cotton). Its description in RNAcentral is "long non-coding RNA (GRAI_LNC006116)". Lineage: Eukaryota; Viridiplantae; Streptophyta; Magnoliopsida; Malvales; Malvaceae. The record is from RNAcentral.
UCAAUUUCAUCAAUACAUCAAUUACAAUAAAUUUCAUUUAAUAACAAUUCAAUUUGGUUACCAACAAUCCAUUUCACUCUCUUUACAAGUUUACAAGUUCAUUUAUAUCAAUUCGCUCAAUAAACCCUAGUAAAAUGGACUCGGAUACAUGGGUAAACUACACCACACCAAGUUGCUCGUCCGAGUUGAAUAUAUAUAUCAAGUUACCCAUUCGGGCUAAACCGAUAUCACAACACAUCAGGUUACUCGUCCGAGAUAAACCUGUGUCACAUAACAAAAAUCCACAAUGAAUGUUGGAUCUCGAUAAAACCUAUGAUAAUCCCCAUACAAGCCCACACAAGACUCUAUUGGCAUGCCAAACAUAUCCUAACAUUUUACUAAGUUCACACAGGCCAUAAUUUUUCAUAUUAUAAUAUCAUCCCUGUAAUUAUUCAUAUAUUCAUAUUAUACGCUGUGUAUGAUUGCAUGCCUUAAUUACUUGCCCUGUACACAUUCAGUCUUUCACAUAUGAACCUUGUACUAUUUCAUUAUAACCAAAUAUCACAUAACAUCUCAAUUGAAUGCAUACUAGUCGUACAUGCCAAAUUCACAAUUGUUCUAAUUUUUUGCACUAACAUGUAUAAUUGAAACCAAAUACAAGAUAACAUAUAACAUAAAAUAAAAUAGUAAGUUCCAUAUGAACUGAACUAUUCAAAAUGUGAAAAGAGUGGAUUACUUUAGGGACUAAUCCACAAUUUUAGCUUUUCUUCUAUUAGCUCCACUUUGAUCCAAUUCUUGAUCUAUACAAUUAUUUUAUAUAACCAAUCAGUACCAAACAUUUUCAUAUUAUGCCAUGAUAUGAGUGAACCUAUAUGAACUCAAUUUUUAUAUAUCCCUAAAAUUUUAUAUUUUAUUCAAUUUAGUCUCUGAACUCGGGAUAGUCAUAAAUUUUAAUCCCUAGAUUCAAAUUAAAAUACGAUUUCAUAUAGUCUCAUCAAGGACCUUAUACUUUCUAUUUCUAACAUAAUUUCAUGACAAGUUUUACAUUUAUUCAAUUUGGUCCCUAAUGUAACAAAGUUAAUAAACAAGUUCAAUUAACUUUACAAUAUAGUCCUUUUCAUAAACUAAGCUUAAAAUUUAUCAAUUUCAAGCCUAAUUCUUAAAUAAAUCAACAAUGGAAACUUUCUAAAACUUUAACAGUUUUACAAAUUGGUAUAUAGACUAGCUAAAUCAAGCUCCCAUGACCUCAAAUCUAUAAAACUUACAAGAAAAAGACUUAAAUUUCAUACCUAAAUGUUGGCUGAAUGUCAAGCCUGUUUCUCUAGGUUUUUCACACCUCAAUGGACGACAAAGAGAU